GAUCAUGGCUCAGGACGAACGCUGGCGGCGUGCUUAACACAUGCAAGUCGAACGAGAAUCUGAUGAAGGAGUUUUCGGACAACUGAUUCAGAGGAAAGUGGCGGACGGGUGAGUAACGCGUGAGGAACCUGCCUUGAAGAGGGGGACAACAGUUGGAAACGACUGCUAAUACCGCAUGAUGCAUAGGGGUCGCAUGAUCUUUAUGCCAAAGAUUUAUCACUUCAAGAUGG
RNAcentral lists this ribosomal RNA (230 nucleotides) under uncultured bacterium. Its description in RNAcentral is "partial 16S ribosomal RNA". It matches the Rfam family "Bacterial small subunit ribosomal RNA", at positions 15 to 228 of the family's 1533-position model. The record is from RNAcentral.